RNAcentral lists this ribosomal RNA (245 nucleotides) under uncultured bacterium. Its description in RNAcentral is "partial 16S ribosomal RNA". It matches the Rfam family "Bacterial small subunit ribosomal RNA", at positions 524 to 768 of the family's 1533-position model. The record is from RNAcentral.
CACGUAGGAGACGAGCGUUAUCCGGAUUUACUGGGUGUAAAGCGCGUGCAGGCGGCUCAAUAAGUUGGAUGUGAAAGCUCCUGGCUUAACUGGGAGAGGUUGUUCAAGACUGUUGGGCUAGAGGAUGGCAGAGGGGAGUGGAAUUCCGAGUGUAGCGGUAAAAUGCAUAGAUAUUCGGAAGAACACCAGUGGCGAAGGCGGCUCUCUGGGCCAAACCUGACGCUCAGACGCGAAAGCUAGGGUAG